RNAcentral lists this ribosomal RNA (743 nucleotides) under uncultured bacterium. Its description in RNAcentral is "bacterial SSU rRNA". It matches the Rfam family "Bacterial small subunit ribosomal RNA", at positions 762 to 1505 of the family's 1533-position model. The record is from RNAcentral.
GGGGGAGCAAACAGGAUUAGAUACCCUGGUAGUCCACGCCGUAAACGAUGUCGACNNNGAGGUUGUGCCCUUGAGGCGUGGCUUCCGGAGCUAACGCGUUAAGUCGACCGCCUGGGGAGUACGGCCGCAAGGUUAAAACUCAAAUGAAUUGACGGGGGCCCGCACAAGCGGUGGAGCAUGUGGUUUAAUUCGAUGCAACGCGAAGAACCUUACCUGGUCUUGACAUCCACAGAACUUUCCAGAGAUGGAUUGGUGCCUUCGGGAACUGUGAGACAGGUGCUGCAUGGCUGUCGUCAGCUCGUGUUGUGAAAUGUUGGGUUAAGUCCCGCAACGAGCGCAACCCUUAUCCUUUGUUGCCAGCGGUCCGGCCGGGAACUCAAAGGAGACUGCCAGUGAUAAACUGGAGGAAGGUGGGGAUGACGUCAAGUCAUCAUGGCCCUUACGACCAGGGCUACACACGUGCUACAAUGGCGCAUACAAAGAGAAGCGACNNNGCGAGAGCAAGCGGACCUCAUAAAGUGCGUCGUAGUCCGGAUUGGAGUCUGCAACUCGACUCCAUGAAGUCGGAAUCGCUAGUAAUCGUGGAUCAGAAUGCCACGGUGAAUACGUUCCCGGGCCUUGUACACACCGCCCGUCACACCAUGGGAGUGGGUUGCAAAAGAAGNNNNNNGCUUAACCUUCGGGAGGGCGCUUACCACUUUGUGAUUCAUGACUGGGGUGAAGUGGUAACAAGGUAGCCGUAA